GCUUGAAGCCUAGCCCCAAUCUACCCAAUGAAACAUCUUUUCCCACCCCUCUCCCAUAAAACAUUUUCCUAACUAAGUAAAGGCGAUUAAAAAGUACCUAGGAGCCUCAACAUCAGUACCGUAAGGGAAAAAUGAAAUAAAAAUGAAAUAAAUUUAAAGCACCAUAAAGUAGAGAUUUAUUCUCGUACCUUUUGCAUCAUGGUCUAACUAGUAAAACCAAGCAAAACGAACUUUAAGUUUGAUACCCCGAAACUAGACGAGCUACUUCAAAACAGCCCCACGAGCUAAUCCGUCCCUGUUGCAAAAGGGUGGAAAGAUUUUCAAGUAGAGGUGACAAACCUACCGAGCCUAGAGAUAGCUGGUUAUUCAGGAAAAGGAUAUUAGUCCAAUUUUAACCCCCCCCCCUCUCCUAUAAUACUUAGUACGCCCAUGGGCUUAAAAUUUAUUCAAAUAAGGUACAGCCUAUUUGAACUAGGAUACAACCUUUGACAGUAGGUAAUGCCAAACUCACGUGAUCAAGUAGGCCUAAAAGCAGCCAUCUUUUAAAAAGCGUUAAAGCCUUAUCACACCCUAUUACCAAUCCCAAUCGGAACCCAAAACCUCUCACCCUUACUGAAUGACUUCAUACUAAUAUGAAAACCCCUAUGUUAGAACUAGUAACAAGAACACCACUUCUCCUAUAAAUGUAAGUGUAGGCCGAAAUGGAACACCCAUCGGCACUUACCGUUAAUGAAUCUGCAGUAACAACUCACCCAAGAAAACUUUACUACACCUCACGUUAACCUUACACAAGAACUUUUCUGGAAAGAUUAAAAAAAGAGGAAGGAACUCGGCAAACCACUAACCCCGCCUGUUUACCAAAAACAUCGCCUUCUGAUAAUUAAUUGAAGGUCCAGCCUGCCCAGUGAAAAACUUAAACGGCCGCGGUAUUUUAACCGUGCAAAGGUAGCACAAUCACUUGUUCUUUAAAUAAGGACUGGUAUGAACGGCAUCACGAGGGUUAUUCUGUCUCCCCCAUUUAAUCAGUGAAACUAAUCUCCCCGUGAAGAAGCGGGGAUACACCCAUAAGACGAGAAGACCCCAUGGAGCUUCAAACUAAGUACCACUUGCCAUUACCCACAUCACUCAAGCCAAGCAAAUCUGUUUACUAGUUUUUGGUUGGGGCGACCGCGGAGCAAAACAAAACCUCCACGAUGAAUGGAGCCCUCCUCCUAAUCAAAGAGCCACCACUCGCAGAAUCAAAAUAUUGACCUAAAUUGAUCCAAUACAUUUGAAUAACGAACUAAGUUACCCUGGGGAUAACAGCGCAAUCCAUUUCAAGAGCCCGUAUCAACAAAUGGGUUUACGACCUCGAUGUUGGAUCAGGGUACCCCAGUGGUGCAGCCAUUACUAAAGGUUC
This 1399-nucleotide ribosomal RNA is filed under the name Hylophorbus infulatus (Arau Archipelago frog). Its description in RNAcentral is "partial 16S ribosomal RNA". It matches the Rfam family "Bacterial large subunit ribosomal RNA", at positions 424 to 2574 of the family's 2925-position model. Lineage: Eukaryota; Metazoa; Chordata; Amphibia; Anura; Microhylidae. The record is from RNAcentral.